This 669-nucleotide ribosomal RNA is filed under the name Bifidobacterium boum. RNAcentral's name for it is "bacterial SSU rRNA". It matches the Rfam family "Bacterial small subunit ribosomal RNA", at positions 57 to 734 of the family's 1533-position model. The record is from RNAcentral. Lineage: Bacteria; Bacillati; Actinomycetota; Actinomycetes; Bifidobacteriales; Bifidobacteriaceae.
GCAGUCGAACGGGAUCCUGCGGGCUUUGCUUGCGGGUGAGAGUGGCGAACGGGUGAGUAAUGCGUGACCAACCUGCCCCAUGCUCCGGAAUAGCUCCUGGAAACGGGUGGUAAUGCCGGAUGCUCCCGCGCCCCGCAUGGGGUGUGGGGAAAGCUUUCGUGGCAUGGGAUGGGGUCGCGUCCUAUCAGCUUGUUGGCGGGGUGAGGGCCCACCAAGGCGUUGACGGGUAGCCGGCCUGAGAGGGCGACCGGCCACAUUGGGACUGAGAUACGGCCCAGACUCCUACGGGAGGCAGCAGUGGGGAAUAUUGCACAAUGGGCGCAAGCCUGAUGCAGCGACGCCGCGUGCGGGAUGGAGGCCUUCGGGUUGUAAACCGCUUUUGUUUGGGAGCAAGCCCUUCGGGGUGAGUGUACCUUUCGAAUAAGCACCGGCUAACUACGUGCCAGCAGCCGCGGUAAUACGUAGGGUGCGAGCGUUAUCCGGAAUUAUUGGGCGUAAAGGGCUCGUAGGCGGUUCGUCGCGUCCGGUGUGAAAGUCCAUCGCUUAACGGUGGAUCCGCGUCGGGUACGGGCGGGCUGGAGUGCGGUAGGGGAGACUGGAAUUCCCGGUGUAACGGUGGAAUGUGUAGAUAUCGGGAAGAACACCAAUGGCGAAGGCAGGUCUCUGGGC